Long non-coding RNA from Psammomys obesus (fat sand rat), 445 nucleotides. RefSeq lists it as uncharacterized. The record is from RefSeq and is a predicted model, not a curated record. NCBI's taxonomy places the organism in Eukaryota, Metazoa, Chordata, Mammalia, Rodentia, Muridae. The transcript is spliced from 4 exons.
GGAAGGAUGGGACCCAUUCCCAGCCCUCAGUGAGUCGAGGCAAACAGACCCAGUGGCAGAAACCAAAGAAGUCGUUGGAUCUCCAGGGGCUGAAGUUCAAGGCACCUGUGAGCCAUUUGACAUGUGUUCUGGGAGAUGAACUAUGGUCCUCUGUAAGAGCAGCAAGUACUCAUAACCUUAACUGAGUCAUUGAGAGCUGAUCCAUGACUCCUUGGGGUACAUGGAGAAAAGGAAGCAGCUAGAGAGUUACCACUGAGUCAACUCCUUGUGCACGCCAGACCUGCCUCGCCAGCUCUGGUCACCUGAUAGACCAGAGAAGACAAAUCAUAUUAAUAAGGAGUCUGUGCACACUGUGAGCAUGCUCACAUCUGCCAUCCCAUUUGAACCUCAGAACAACCUGUGUGAAAAUAAGGAUCGAACAAGGAGGAAACUAAGUCUCUGUAAA